AUUGCAGUCUGCAACUCGACUGCAUGAAGUCGGAAUCGCUAGUAAUUCGAGAUCAGCAUGCUCGGGUGAAUGCGUUCCCGGGCCUUGUACACACCGCCCGUCACACCAUGGGAGUCGGAAAUGCCCGAAGUCUGUGACCUAACCGCAAGGGAGGAGCAGCCGAAGGCAGGUCGGAUGACUGGGGUGAAGUCGUAACAAGGUAGC
Molecule: ribosomal RNA, 204 nt
Filed under: uncultured bacterium
Lineage: Bacteria
Description: partial 16S ribosomal RNA
Rfam family: Bacterial small subunit ribosomal RNA
Source: RNAcentral